RNAcentral lists this ribosomal RNA (429 nucleotides) under Bacteroidota bacterium. RNAcentral's name for it is "Bacteroidetes bacterium partial 16S ribosomal RNA". It matches the Rfam family "Bacterial small subunit ribosomal RNA", at positions 355 to 776 of the family's 1533-position model. The record is from RNAcentral. Lineage: Bacteria; Pseudomonadati; Bacteroidota.
UAGGGAAUCUUCCGCAAUGGACGCAAGUCUGACGGAGCAACGCCGCGUGAGUGAAGAAGGAUUUCGGUUCGUAAAACUCUGUUGUUAGAGAAGAACAGCGCAUAGAGUAACUGUUAUGCGUGUGACGGUAUCUAACCAGAAAGCCACGGCUAACUACGUGCCAGCAGCCGCGGUAAUACGUAGGUGGCAAGCGUUGUCCGGAUUUAUUGGGCGUAAAGCGAGCGCAGGCGGUCAAUUAAGUCUGAUGUGAAAGCCCCCGGCUCAACCGGGGAGGGUCAUUGGAAACUGGUUGACUUGAGUGCAGAAGAGGAGAGUGGAAUUCCAUGUGUAGCGGUGAAAUGCGUAGAUAUAUGGAGGAACACCAGUGGCGAAGGCGAAUCUCUGGUCUGUAACUGACGCUGAGGCUCGAAAGCGUGGGUAGCAAACAGG